This is a long non-coding RNA of Bombus pascuorum, 1515 nucleotides long. RefSeq lists it as uncharacterized. Lineage: Eukaryota; Metazoa; Arthropoda; Insecta; Hymenoptera; Apidae. The transcript has 3 exons. The record is from RefSeq and is a predicted model, not a curated record.
CGUCUCGACCUUGUGAGAAAGAUAGCUGCACAUGCUUAAUAAAAAAUAUGUUAUCAGAAUUGCGUACCAAACUCUUUUGGAGAAUAAUUUCACCAUCCAAAAUUUAUUUACUCGUUAUGUUCAUUUUCUUCAAUAAGACAACCUCCAAGGUUCACUCUCUCAAUCUUCAGCUUCUACGAUGAUAUAAUAAUCGAUCGACAUAGAAUUACGAGGUACGAGAAAGCUGGAUUCUUGUACGGAAAAGACACCGCGGAACAGCAGAAAAAAGAAACCGUGUACUUUUCCCGUGGAGAGAGAAGUACAAAGGGGGAGUGAAAAGAGGUGGAGAAACCAGGAGGGAGAGACAGAAGAGCCAUAGAGGGAAACUCGUCGAUAUUCCGCGACUUUAUCGGUCUGCGGAAUAAUUCAUGAAAGAGGGCGGAUAGUGCCAAUUAUAAAAUAACGAAGCCGCCGUAGUGGCGUGGAAGAGACUAUAGGAACAAGAGAAGAGUCGACGAAGAUCGACAAUGGAUCAUAAUAUGGGAAAGACGAAGAAAGAGGAGAAAGAAGGACGUCGAAAGUGAACGAAGAAAGAAAAGGUGAACAAGGGUUGAAGAGGACGGAGAAAGCAUACGCAAGGGUGCGAGAGGAUGCAAGAAAGAGAAGUUCGUUCCAGCUGUCGUACUAAAAAUAGUAACCAAGGGGAUGGUGGCCUGUCCGACGACGCGAUCGCGAGAGCACCGUCUCAUAAGUUUUAUGGGGUUGAUCAACGAUCACGAUCCUCGAUCUGAAACGAAACCUUGGAUAGUUUCUUGUUUGGAAAUUGGAAUUAGCUUUCGGGAUUGACGACCAAGCCUCGUCAGGAUGGGUUCGGAUAUUUCUUCUCGCCAGUUUAAUUGCUUCUGCAGUGGUUUAUGCGUGGGGAUGGUGGACCUCGUGAUUAGGCAAUAUAAGAAAGGUUUUCCACGAAGCUUCAAAUUGGUCAUUUUUCAUGAAGAGGCAUUGGAAGAUUUUGAAGGUAAAAUAUCAGACUGUAGUAUACGAGAUUUUACUAAACGAUUCAUAUUUCGGAAUAAAUUGAACAGCAGCAACAGUAACGAUGUAACGAAAGCUGUGAACACGAAUCAGCUUUAUCUACAUAAUCUCUUCUGGAUCCACCUUUCAAGGCGGUAUGAGAAAUUGCCAGCGUUACGUUUUGAUCCACGACGACCACUUCCCCGACUUCGAACGUCACUUGCAGAGAAUCAUUUUAUCCCUUCUAAGCCUGUCACAGCGGGGGUUCCUUCAUCCAUACGGAAUUUUUGGGCUUUAAUUAAAAUUCGGUACGCGACACGCUAAAAUGUACGUUUUCACCCUGGCAUUGCUCGCCGCGAAACGACAAAUGGAAAGUUUCGUCAAAAAUGUCAAUUCGACGUUCCCGUUUCAUUUUUUGUUUUACCAUAUUUUGCAUCUUUGUUUAUUAAUAGAAGGAGAAUAAUGCACAUGUAUUUUUUGAACAGGAUUUUCUCUUUAGAUAAAGACCUAGGAUAUAUCGUU